This 72-nucleotide transfer RNA is filed under the name Camelus bactrianus (Bactrian camel). It matches the Rfam family "tRNA". Rfam says of the family: Transfer RNA (tRNA) molecules are approximately 80 nucleotides in length. Their secondary structure includes four short double-helical elements and three loops (D, anti-codon, and T loops). The record is from Rfam by way of RNAcentral. Lineage: Eukaryota; Metazoa; Chordata; Mammalia; Artiodactyla; Camelidae. RNAcentral also lists the same sequence under 1 other name.
GUGGGCAUAGCUUGGUGGUAGAGUGCAUGCCUAGCAUGCACGAGAUCCUGGGUUCCAUCCCCAGUACCUCCA